Molecule: ribosomal RNA, 253 nt
Filed under: uncultured bacterium
Lineage: Bacteria
Description: partial 16S ribosomal RNA
Rfam family: Bacterial small subunit ribosomal RNA
Source: RNAcentral
UACGUAGGGGGCAAGCGUUAUCCGGAAUUACUGGGUGGAAAGGGAGCGUAGACGGUAAUGUAAGUCUGGAGUGAAAGGCGGGGGCCCAACCCCCGGACUGCUCUGGAAACUAUGUUACUAGAGUGCAGGAGAGGUAAGCGGAAUUCCUAGUGUAGCGGUGAAAUGCGUAGAUAUUAGGAGGAACACCAGUGGCGAAGGCGGCUUACUGGACUGUAACUGACGUUGAGGCUCGAAAGCGUGGGGAGCAAACAGG